This 253-nucleotide ribosomal RNA is filed under the name uncultured bacterium. RNAcentral describes it as "partial 16S ribosomal RNA". It matches the Rfam family "Bacterial small subunit ribosomal RNA", at positions 524 to 776 of the family's 1533-position model. The record is from RNAcentral.
UACGUAGGGGGCUAGCGUUGUCCGGAAUCAUUGGGCGUAAAGGGUGCGUAGGCGGGUUUUUAAGUCAGGGGUGAAAUCCUGGAGCUCAACUCCAGAACUGCCUUUGAUACUGAAGAUCUUGAGUCCGGGAGAGGUGAGUGGAACUGCGAGUGUAGAGGUGAAAUUCGUAGAUAUUCGCAAGAACACCAGUGGCGAAGGCGGCUCACUGGCCCGGUACUGACGCUGAGGCACGAAAGCGUGGGGAGCAAACAGG